Molecule: small RNA, 2177 nt
Filed under: Pan troglodytes (chimpanzee)
Lineage: Eukaryota; Metazoa; Chordata; Mammalia; Primates; Hominidae
Description: retained intron
Source: RNAcentral
CAGGAGGUGAGGAUGGAGCUGGAUCAGAAACUACCCCAGUGGUAGAGCCUACUAAGCUGGUGCUCCCGAUGAAAGUCAACCCAUAUUCUGUCAUCGACAUCACACCAUUCCAGGAGGACCAGCCGCCCACCCCCGUGCCCAGCGCUGAGGAGGAGAAUGUGGGUCUCCAUGUGCCCUGCGGGUACUUGGUGCCUGUACCCUGCGGCUAUGCGGUGCCCUCCAACCUGCCCCUCCUGCUGCCCGCCUACUCCAGCCCGGUCAUCAUCCGCGCCACGUCCCUGGACGAAGAAGCAGAAACGGCAGAAGUCACAGAAGUUCGCCAGCCCAAUUCUCUGAGUUCCGAGGAGCCUCCAACCAGUGAAGAUCACGUCGGUCGAGAGGACAGCGCACUUGCCCGCUGGGCCGCAGACCCGGCCAACACAGCCUGGAUGGAGAAUCCAGAAGAAGCAAUUUACGAUGACGUUCCAAGGGAAAACUCAGACUCUGAACCAGAUGAAAUGAUUUAUGAUGAUGUUGAGAAUGGGGAUGAAGGUGGAAACAGCUCCUUGGAAUACGGAUGGAGUUCGAGUGAAUUUGAAAGUUACGAAGAGCAGAGUGACUCGGAGUGCAAGAAUGGGAUUCCCAGGUCCUUCCUGCGCAGCAACCACAAAAAGCAAAUGCAGAAGCUCGUGAAGGCCGCGAAGGACGGCACCAAGGACGGGCUGGAGAGGACCAGGGCAGCCGUGAAGAGGGGCCGCUCCUUCAUCAGGACCAAGUCUCUCAUCGCACAGGAUCACAGAUCUUCUCUUGAGGAAGAACAGAAUCUGUUCAUUGAUGUUGACUGCAAGCACCCGGAAGCCAUCUUGACCCCGAUGCCCGAGGGUUUAUCUCAGCAGCAGGUUGUAAGAAGAUAUAUACUGGGUUCAGUUGUCGACAGUGAAAAGAACUACGUAGAUGCUCUUAAGAGGAUUUUGGAGCAAUAUGAGAAGCCGCUGUCUGAGAUGGAGCCAAAGGUUCUGAGUGAGAGGAAGCUGAAGACGGUGUUCUACCGAGUCAAAGAGAUCCUGCAGUGCCACUCGCUGUUUCAGAUCGCGCUGGCCAGCCGCGUUUCCGAGUGGGACUCCGUGGAAAUGAUAGGCGAUGUCUUCGUGGCUUCGUUUUCUAAGUCCAUGGUGCUGGAUGCAUACAGUGAAUAUGUGAACAAUUUCAGCACAGCCGUGGCAGUCCUCAAGAAAACAUGUGCCACAAAGCCCGCUUUUCUUGAAUUUUUAAAGCAGGAACAGGAGGCCAGCCCCGAUCGAACGACGCUCUACAGCCUGAUGAUGAAGCCCAUCCAGAGGUUCCCACAGUUCAUCCUCCUGCUCCAGGACAUGCUGAAGAACACCUCCAAAGGCCACCCCGACAGGCUGCCUCUUCAGAUGGCCCUGACAGAGCUUGAAACACUAGCAGAGAAGUUAAAUGAAAGGAAGAGAGAUGCUGAUCAACGCUGUGAAGUGAAGCAAAUAGCCAAAGCCAUAAACGAAAGAUACCUGAACAAGGUUGAGAGAGGUUUUCUUCAACUCUAUUCCAAAAUUAUUUUUGCUUUGUGCUAAUAAGCUGUCGUUGUCCAGCAAUACUAAUCUUUUGGAUCGUUUGGAGUAAUUCCCUUCGCCCAGAGUUCUUAACCGGGGUGGAUGGAGGCCUUCGGGAGAGUCACACCAAUGUGGAAAUUGUAUGUAAAACCUUAACAGCCUGUCUGCAUUUUCUUAGGAAAGAGAUUCAUACAUUCAUUAGACCCUCAAAUGGAUCCAGGACCUCCCAAGGGGUUAAGAGCAACUCCUUUAGCUUAAUUUUCCUUUCAAAAUAACUGUAUUUAAUUUCAGAUAGUAAUAGUUAAAGCUGAAAAUAUUUACAGGCUAGGCACAGUGGCUCACACCUGUAAGCCCAGCACUUUUGGAGGCUGAGGUGGGAAGAUCGCUGGAACCCAGGAGUUCGAGACCAGCCUGGGCGUGAUAGUGAGAACCCAUAUCUAAAAAAAGAAAAAAAAAUUUAGCUGGGUACAGUGGCAUGCACCUAUAUAGUCUGAGCUACGUGGGAGGCUGAGGCCAGAGGAUUGCUUGAGCCUGGGGGGUCCAGGCUGUGGUGAGCUGUUACUGAGCUGCUGCACUCUAGCCUGGGUGAUGGAGCAAAACCCUGUUUCAAAAAAAAAAAAAAAAAAA